RNAcentral lists this long non-coding RNA (371 nucleotides) under Gossypium raimondii (Peruvian cotton). RNAcentral's name for it is "long non-coding RNA (GRAI_LNC007854)". Lineage: Eukaryota; Viridiplantae; Streptophyta; Magnoliopsida; Malvales; Malvaceae. The record is from RNAcentral.
GGGUUUCGAUUUUCACAAUAAAUCUAAAUACACGAAUCUUUUCAAACUUGAGUUUUAAAUGAUCUCGGGAAAUUAAGAAAAGAUUGUGUCCUAACUUACUGGGCAUGAUCCUUUUUUUUAAAACCCCGAUGUACAAAGCCCAAAUUUGCCCCAACCCAACAAACUAAAUUAAACCCAAAAAAACUGCAAGCCCAAACCCAAUACAUCAAUUACCCUAGCCCACGUUCAAAAAAAAAAAAAAGAAGAACAAGUAGCAGCAACCCUAGGUGCGCCGCACCUAGGGUCUUCAGCCACCAACCCGUCGCACCUAGCCUCUGCUAAAAUCAUCCACUUGCCCUGGUCGCCGGCGCCGCAUGUCACGUCUCUGCCCA